GCGUCGGUGGUUCAGUGGUAGAAUACUCGCCUGCCACGCGGGAGACCCGGAUUCGAUUCCCGGCCGACGCA
Molecule: transfer RNA, 71 nt
Filed under: Rhipicephalus microplus (southern cattle tick)
Lineage: Eukaryota; Metazoa; Arthropoda; Arachnida; Ixodida; Ixodidae
Description: tRNA-Gly
Rfam family: tRNA
About the family: Transfer RNA (tRNA) molecules are approximately 80 nucleotides in length.
Source: Rfam by way of RNAcentral